This is a long non-coding RNA of Homo sapiens (human), 564 nucleotides long. The record is from Ensembl. NCBI's taxonomy places the organism in Eukaryota, Metazoa, Chordata, Mammalia, Primates, Hominidae.
GACAAAUUGCUGGAGGCUCAGUGUGGACAAAUCUGAGAGUUAAAAACUCUGGGAGUUCAGAAGUUCUGAGGGUCUUGUGGUUUUUUCUCAUCAUCAUCCUCCCCUGGUUCUUCUGUUUCAUUUGAAGAGGAGAUGAUAUGAUUGAAUGGAACACAAGGAAGUAAAGUGAUCUUCCUCGUUUGUUUUUCAAAAAGCUGAUGCCUCAGAGGAAAAAGAAAGCAAAGCCCUGUACCCUGACUCGAGCUGAGUCUCAGGGGGGCAGCCAGAUGCCAGAGAGAAAAUGACUAUAUAGGUUACCUAGACCAACAAGAGCACAGACAGCCUGUCAGAGACCUCCAUGCUUUAACCUGGCUCACAAGUAGAGCCACCAGAACCAAAGUAGCUGUGGUGACAGAGACAGAGACAGUCUUCAUGAACAGAUGACCAAGAACCAGACAAGAAGUGGAUACUCCAGAGGACACCUGCAGAGGCAAGACAUCAGGGACCACAGCGCUGCCCACCCCCUCUCAUAUGGUCCCCAUGUAAGCCCCUGGAACUGGGUACCAUCCCAAAGGUAAUAGCAAC